RNAcentral lists this ribosomal RNA (478 nucleotides) under uncultured bacterium. Its description in RNAcentral is "partial 16S ribosomal RNA". It matches the Rfam family "Bacterial small subunit ribosomal RNA", at positions 28 to 507 of the family's 1533-position model. The record is from RNAcentral.
GAUGAACGCUGGCGGCGUGCUUAACACAUGCAAGUCGAACGAGAAAUGUAGACGGAAACCUUCGGGCGGAAGCCUUCAUUUCGAGUGGCGGACGGGUGAGUAACGCGUGGGUAACCUGCCUCAUACAGGGGGAUAACAGUUGGAAACGACUGUUAAUACCGCAUAAGACCACAGCAUCGCAUGAUGCGGGGGUAAAAACUCUGGUGGUAUGAGAUGGACCCGCGUUCGAUUAGCCAGUUGGCGGGGUAACGGCCCACCAAAGCGACGAUCGAUAGCCGAUCUGAGAGGAUGACCGGCCACAUUGGGACUGAGACACGGCCCAAACUCCUACGGGAGGCAGCAGUGGGGAAUAUUGCACAAUGGGGGAAACCCUGAUGCAGCGACGCCGCGUGAGUGAAGAAGUACUUCGGUAUGUAAAGCUCUAUCAGCAGGGAAGAAAAUGACGGUACCUGAGUAAGAAGCCCCGGCUAACUACGUG